UGGGGAAUAUUGGACAAUGGGCGCAAGCCUGAUCCAGCCAUGCCGCGUGGGUGAUGAAGGCCCUAGGGUUGUAAAGCACUUUCGACCGGGACGAAAACCCGCUGGCUAACAUCCAGCGGUUUGACGGUACCGGGAGAAGAAGCACCGGCUAACUCU
RNAcentral lists this ribosomal RNA (156 nucleotides) under uncultured bacterium. RNAcentral describes it as "partial 16S ribosomal RNA". It matches the Rfam family "Bacterial small subunit ribosomal RNA", at positions 355 to 504 of the family's 1533-position model. The record is from RNAcentral.